Molecule: long non-coding RNA, 637 nt
Organism: Hippocampus zosterae (dwarf seahorse)
Lineage: Eukaryota; Metazoa; Chordata; Actinopteri; Syngnathiformes; Syngnathidae
Exons: 3
Source: RefSeq, a predicted model, not a curated record
GUUCUCAAGAGCGAAAUGACAUUUGUGCUUUUCAGAUUCACAUUCGGCUGGUCUGCCAGAAGGUCGGGUGCAGCGAUGCGACUUUGGAGUUUUAUUCUGCUACUCAUCAACAAAGCGGUCCCCAGACGUGAUUUUGGGGGCGAGAAAACGGGGGUGGAAAAGCCAGGAAGACGAGGGUUCGCAAAGUGUCCGGCAGAUGGCGCAACGCACCGUCCGGCUCACUAUUGGGAAGCGAGGCAGCCCCAAGUCCCCUCGCAAUGGAGACUCCGUCGCCCGAAUCAGAAAGAAGCGUCCCGUCCCGGGGUGAGCGCGCGGCGUGCCGCUGACGGCCAUUUGCAAGGCGUCUUCUGCAGAUGGGCCCGUCGCUUCUCACCUCUGUGGGAAAUCCCCCGCCGGCCAGACACCGUCCCGUCCCGUCCUGACUCAUCCCUCGUUCUUCCCCACGCCGCCGACUUUUGCAGACACAACAAGGCAAGCGACGCGUUUGAAUUUCCUCCCUUCCUUCUUGUUGUUCUCCUUUCAGAAUCAUCUCAGACCGAGCGUGUUGACGCUGGCGUUUGCACAUUUGCAAAUGUUUCCAUAUUUCAUAAGAGCCCGCGAAUAGGAAGUCGGCCGAGCGGUCUCCGCGGACUGAGAC